RNAcentral lists this long non-coding RNA (4477 nucleotides) under Phoenix dactylifera (date palm). Its description in RNAcentral is "long non-coding RNA (PDAC_LNC008693)". The record is from RNAcentral. Lineage: Eukaryota; Viridiplantae; Streptophyta; Magnoliopsida; Arecales; Arecaceae.
CUUUGUAAUCCUCCAAAUCAUAUACUUUGACACUCGAUAUAUAUCAAUAAAGGCAUUGUAUUUCAUCAUUUGCUGCUUAUCUGUUUUAUUAUUGGAUGAUGAACCCUAUAAAUUAGGAUAUUGGUUUUAGGGUUAUGAUGAGAUCAUACCAGUGAGACCUAAAAUCCUAAAAUCCUAAUUUAGAAUAUUUCCAGUCAAAUUGGUAUAUUGAGUCGGGGAUCAAUUACUAGAAAGACUGGCACAUCUUAUGUAUGCUCAAUGUAGAGGGUGAUUGAUCUCACAAUCACUUGUGUGAGACACUAAUACAAAGAUGUGGAUGCUCAUUAGAGGAAUGAGUUUACUGAAAUGACCAGCCAUGAGAACAUCUUAUGGAUUCUUACUUAAUUGUCAAAAGAUGGUUCUCAUAGUGGGAGUUGUGCAAGUGAUCUUUAGACCUGAGAUCACCAUGGCACCUUGUGCACUUGAACCUAUAUUUUGGUUUACCCUCAUUCACGACAUUGCGUUGUGUACGGGGUAUUCUGGAUAUGGUGGAUUUUGUACGAAGGUUGUGAGUAGGUCAACAAAGAAUCAGUCACUCCUAGUAAGAGAAGGUAACAUCCUACUUACUCAAAUCUUAUGAUGAUUCAAGAAGCCUUUGAUCAAAGCAAAAUAAAAAUUAGAAAGAGUUUCUAAUGUUUCAUUGUUUGAAUUAUCAUAUAAAAGAUUGAGAGAGACAUGAAUAAGUGAUUGAGUUUGAUAUUGAUCCAUACUCAUGCACUUAUUCAGGAUGUAGUAUGACUGAGGGAUUGAAUUGCACGGUAACUUGCCACUGAAGGAUAUGUUUGGAUUUGUCCAAUACAUUCCUCAUCUUCCAGAUAGACAUGAUACAUUGCUAGACGUCAAUCUUGUCUUGUGGGUUGAUUAGAUCAAAGAGUUUGAUUAGAUCAAAGCAUCAGAAAGGUUCUGAUUGCUAAGUCAGGUUUAGCACUAAAUUGAACCUAAAUUGGAUUAGAGGUAUUCUAAUCAAGUUAGGUCAACUUGUACCUACACCUACUGCUGGCUAAGAUAAGGAACCUAAUGGAUCACACGCAAGAAAAUUGAUCAAGGGUCUAAUUGGAUUAGAUCAUGUUUGCAAGAUGAACAUGCUAGCACGUGUUGCAAUCCCUAGCUCCUGAUUCAAAUUAAAUUCGAAUCUGAUUCUUAGAUUAGGUUGAUCUAAUAUGAUUAGAUCAUGACCUAAUAUGGGUUAGCCCAGAGUUGGAACCCAUUUGGCUUUAAUUAGACAUGAUUUGAUUAGGUUUAAUAUUUCCUUUAAGUUGGUUAAACCCAAUUGGAUUGGGUUUGAUAGGGCCUUCACUUCUGGACCAUUGGAUCGCUCCCUGGAUGAAGGAUCUGGUCCAUUGAUCAGCACCUGAAUCUGAAUCACUGGAUGGCUCUCUGGAUGAAAGAUCUGGACCAUUGGUCAGCACUUGAAUCUGGACCACUAGAUGGCUCUCUGGAUGAAAGAUCUGGACUGUUGCUCAGCGUCUAAAUCUGGUCCAUCGGUGAUGGCAUCUUGCUUCUGGACCAUUGGAUGGCAUCCUGGAUGAUGAUGCUUUAAUCUGGACCAUUGGCUUUGGUUCACUGCAUUUGGGCCCUUGGAUCAUUAGGAUUUAAGAGGGAGACGUGAGAAAGAAGUUGAUACACCCUUCUCCUUAACACCCAUACAUGACGAGAUGUCUCUCUUGGCACAUGCCUCAUCAUGAUAAGGUGUGUGGAUGGGAUGCAUCCCUUUAUGAUGCAUCCCUCCAUCUCUUAUAAAUAAGGAGGCGCCCUGGGAUUCUAAAGAUCAUCCAAGAAAAAGCCUCUUCUUCUCUCUUCCUUAUCCCUUCUUUUUUACAAGCCUCUCUCUUUUGUCCUAACCCAAGACAAGAAGGUCUUCUUUAGGACAAAAAGGCUAGUGAAUGUUUUAGAGGUAGAAAGGAAGAAGGAAGUGAAGGAAAAUCAGCCCAUUAAAUCCUUUGGAAGGCUUGAACAACUAUAAUCAAGUUUUGGAGGAGCUAGAGUCUUGAACCCAUUCCUGUGUGGAUCAACAUUGGAGGGUGAACAUUUGGGCACCUUAGGACAUCUUCAGACAUAUUGGAUAUAGCAUGAUAAGUAUUCUUUUAUACCAAGAUUAUAUUUUCUACAUUAUUUGGUUAUACUAUUAAGAUGAUCUUGGCUUAUUAGGGUUUCAUAUAAUGGGUUUUAUAAGAAAAUUUUAUAAUCCCGUAUCUUCUGAUGCGCCCUAGGGCACUGGGAAACCUAAUACCGGAUAGGUCGAAUAUAUGCGAAGCAAAUAUUCUAGAAUCCUGGACUAUGGUUAUUGUAUAAUUCAAUCCCUUUGACUCCUAAUGCCAGGAUGACUUAGAGCUCACUGUCAACCCUAUAAUUAGUAGAUCCAUUAUGUGAUUAACUUUAGAUAUCCCGUGACUCCUCACUGGGAUUACCCUGGUCAAGGUUUUGCUAAAUUAAUCACAAGAUAUUAUCUCUUAUUUGCAGAAGGGGUCAAUUCCAUCUCGACUUACAACUGACUACAUAAGUACUUGGCUGCACCCAGUGACCUUCCGUCACUGAAUUAGAAAUUCAGGUAGUCCGAUACCAAAGUACAAUGAGUUGCUUGCUAGUCACAGGUUGCGGUCUCAGGUCAGAGGGCCAAACUUAUACCCAUAUCCACUCGGAAUAUCUCUUGAUAGUAGAGCGUUCCGAAAUUGGUCAUAUUCAGUGAAAUGUACUCCUACACUUCACCUAUGUGGAUAUCAGUGUCUCCACACUCCUUGGUUAAGAGGACAACCUGUAUAUGUUACACAACGAUCUAAUCUCGAUAAUGCUGUCGUCCUGGUAACAGCAUAUCAUUUGAUUGCAAACAGUUUUAAGGAUAUGAAGAUAAAUCCUCCUUUAUCAUAAAAUAAAUCCUAAGGACUUCAUCAUAUAAGAGUUCAGUUGAAGAUGUACAAUGAUUAAUAAUGCCAAAUAAUACUUUAUUAAUUUGUCAAUUCAUUUACAAAAUUCAGUCAUCAACAUGCUGACGAUUGACAUUUAGGAUACAAUUCCCAACAAGAAUGGCAUAUUGGUACAACCUCGAGCAGUCUCCACAAAGCACGAAUCGACUCUCUCAGAUAGACAGAAACAUGUAUUUCGGAUUGCAAAGCGCGAGUCGACUCAAGUCGAGCGCGAGCUGUCUCCCAUCUUUCGGAUGAAGCGCGAGACGACUCCCAACAACUAUGAGACGUCUCUAUCAGACAGACAGAAACAUGUAAUUCAGGUCGCAAAGCGCGAGUCAUCUCCUAUCUAUCGGACGAAGCGCGAGUCGCCUCCUAACUACUACGAGACAUCUCUCUCAGACAAAGGCAGAGAACUUUUUUUUGGCGGACCAAGACGCGAGACGACUCCGGAACCGCGCGAGCUGACUCCAACAAAAAUUGAUCGAUAACCUGUCAGCGAGAUUUCGAGCCAGAGCCGACUCCAGAAUUAUGCGAGACGUCUCCCACUUUAGUAGAGCCUGUUGGGAAUUGUAUCCUAAAUGUCAAUCGUCAGCAUGUUGAUGAUUAAAUUUUGUAAAUGAAUUGAGAAAUCAAUAAAGUAUUUUUUGGCAUUAUUCAUCAUUUUACAUCUUUAAAUGGACUCUUAUAUGAUGAAGUCCUUAGGACUUAUUAAUGAUAAAGGAGGAUUUAUCUUCGAGUCCUUAAACUAGUUUGCGACCAAAUGAUAUGUUGUUACAAGGAUGACAACAUUAUCGAGAUUAGGUCGUUGUGUGACAUAUACGUUGAUUGUCCUCCUAACCAAGGAGUGUGGAGACACUGGUAUGCCACACAGAUUAAGUGUAGGAGUACAUUUCACUGAACGUGACCAAUUCCGGAAUGCUCUACUGUCAAGAGAUGUUCCGAGUGGAUAUGGGUAUAAGUUUGGCCCUCUGACCUGAGACCGCAACAUGUGACUAGCAAGCAACUCAUUGUACUUUGGUACCGGACUACCUGAAUUUCUAAUUUAGUGACGGAAGGUCACUGGGUGCAGUCAAGUACUUGCGUAGUCAGUUGUGAGUCGAGAUGGAAUUGACCCCUCUGAAAACAGGAGAUAAUGUCUUGUGAUUAAUUUAGCAAAACCUUGGCCAGGGUAAUCCCAGUGAGGAGUCACAGGAUAUCUAAAGUUAAUCACAUAAUGGACGUACUAAUUAUAGGAUUGACAGUGAGCUCUAAGUCAACCUGGCAUUAGGAGUCAAAGGGAUUGAAUUAUACAGUAACCAUAGUUUAGGAUUCCAGAAUAUUUGCUUCGCAUAUAUUCGGCCUAUCCGGACGUCGGGUACCAUUGCUAGAUGGUCACAUCGAUUAGUGUAAGAAGUCGUUCCUAAACUACCGGCUUAGGUUCGAACCUAUGAGGUCACACGCAUAGAAGAUUCCUGAUUGAUCAAGAAGGCUGAUGAAUGAUUAAGAAUCAUUCAAGGGUAAUUUGGUCAAUUCAAUUGGCAAAUUAUCUUAUAAAA